This 1277-nucleotide long non-coding RNA is filed under the name Gallus gallus (chicken). Its description in RNAcentral is "lncRNA (ENSGALG00010000930.1)". Lineage: Eukaryota; Metazoa; Chordata; Aves; Galliformes; Phasianidae. The record is from RNAcentral.
AAACCUUCCAAGUCUACCUUCACACAUCAGUUCAGGGGCCAGCCGUGUUUUAUAAUCCUGGCAAGAGUUUAUCUAACUCGAGUUCACAGGAUUCUUUUGAGGUGGAACAAGACUUCCUUUAUUUUGAGUGGUCUCAUGAAGGAAAUAUGUUGCAUGAUCUGUAAAACACCUUUUUCUGUUACAUUCCCAAAUCAUAGUUUAGUUAAUCAGCAGCUGAAUCUUGUAAUUUGCUAUGAAUGCACUUACUUUGGUUGGAUAUUUAAAACCACAUAACAAAGAUUUGUGAUGUUUCUGUCAGGUUGCAUUCAUUUCAGACUCGGGAACUACUUAAGUACUUAAUGAGGUGUUUUCGUACAGAAGAUCAUGGGUGAACUCUAGUGAGCUUGGAUAAACCAACAAAUGUCCAAAUGAUUAUUUAAAAGUCUUUUGAACUUAAUCAAGUCAUGUUUCAUGACAAUCUCAUGUAAUAAGCUUCUCUCAAAAGAUUCCUAUAUUUGGCUGGGCCACAAAUGUAUGAAAAUUCCUUAGAAUAUACUGACAAACACAUAAAUGAUCCACUAGCAAAUAACACCCUGUAACCAUUUUAAAAUCAAAUUAACCCAAUUUGAUUGGUUUGAUUUUGGAAAGGGUUUUUAGUUAGUUCAUUUCAAUGAUGAGACUAACUGUGUUUCCUACAGUCUCAUUUUUUUAAAUAACAUAAAUUAUUUUUUUUAAAGUAUUAGGAAUUAUACUGAAAAAUUACCAACCAAUUAUGCUAAAGUAGGAAAUCAUACUUAAAAAAGACUCUAUAGUGACUGCAUAUCCUCUUUAUGUUACACUUGAACAUGGCAAAAGGAAUGGCAGAAGAAAGAAAUUAAGAGAGAAGAACAAGAAAAGAGUAAAAAAAUUGAAAACGGAAAAAAAUCCACAGAAAGAAGAAAAAAGGAACUUAUGAUUCAAAUUCAAACGCCUAGAAUCAUGUUAGGAAUUAGGAGCUGAUUUGUUGUAUCAACAGCCAACUCCAGUGGUGGCUUUAUUGAAGUCACUAACACCUUUGCAUCGGUUUUUCCACCUUUAGCAAGAAUAUUUGUCAGCACAGAAGUAAUGGUUAAAGUUGGAUUAUCUUUUGUGAUAUGAAAAUUAAUGCUUGAAAUCUUAAGCCUUCAAAAGGAUGCCCAAUUAUUAACUAGCUUACUAGAGCUUUAAAGUAUAAAACAUCGUGACAAGAUUGUUUCAGUGGAUCGCUAACAGCCAAUACAAAUGUUUUUUCCUCACAUGUAGAAAUAAAUCAUUGGUAU